Molecule: ribosomal RNA, 215 nt
Filed under: uncultured bacterium
Lineage: Bacteria
Description: partial 16S ribosomal RNA
Rfam family: Bacterial small subunit ribosomal RNA
Source: RNAcentral
UCUCAGUUCGGAUUGUAGUCUGCAACUCGACUACAUGAAGCUGGAAUCGCUAGUAAUCGCGGAUCAGAAUGCCGCGGUGAAUACGUUCCCGGGUCUUGUACACACCGCCCGUCACACCAUGGGAGUCAGUAACGCCCGAAGCCGGUGACCUAACCGAAAGGGAGGAGCCGUCGAAGGUGGGACCGAUAACUGGGGUGAAGUCGUAACAAGGUACC